CCUUCAAACCUUGUGCGACGACGACGACAAGAUCGAGAAUGAAUCGGCAACGAGAGGUGGCGCCGGUGAUUCGCCUUGUCGCAUUAGCCGUCAGAGAUGGGAGGAGAGCGGAAUGGAACGGAGGACUGAACGGCGGUGGCGACUGAAGCACUACUUUCAUCUUCUGAUUUUAGAUCUCAUAUGAGGUGGCGGUGAGGCACUACUUUCGCCAUCGAUGAUGGAGCAAAGAGGCGAGAUUGUGGUGGCGCCGAGUAUGGUGGUUGUGUGCGGUGAUGUUAGUAUUGUUGGAUCUUAGGUGGCAGCGGAU
Molecule: long non-coding RNA, 307 nt
Organism: Spinacia oleracea (spinach)
Lineage: Eukaryota; Viridiplantae; Streptophyta; Magnoliopsida; Caryophyllales; Amaranthaceae
Exons: 3
Source: RefSeq, a predicted model, not a curated record